This 1925-nucleotide unclassified non-coding RNA is filed under the name Hevea brasiliensis (rubber tree). Lineage: Eukaryota; Viridiplantae; Streptophyta; Magnoliopsida; Malpighiales; Euphorbiaceae. The record is from RNAcentral.
ACACACACACACACACACACACAUUUAUUGGCAUGUGCUAAAUUUUUAUAAUUAUUUGAUUUAAAUGGAGGCAUAUUUAGAAUUGAGCAGGGGAAAUACACUACAUCUAUAUUGAUGUACUAAAAAUUAUAAUUAUUUAAUCUAAAUAGAGACAAGCUUAAAAUUUAGUGGGGGCAAUUUCAUAGAAAUAUAAAUUAUACACGAAAUUUUAUAUUAAUAGUGGGGUCAAUUGGGCUAAUUGAGUGGGGGCAAUUGCAUAAAUUAAAGAAUUUAUUAAAAAACUUAUAAAGAAAUGGUGGCAAUUGCCCCUACUGCCCCAGUGUAAAUGCACCAGUUAAUGGUAAUGUGGUUGAAUGAAUUUUUCUAGUUCUUAUGCAUCCUAUGUGUGAGAUGAGAUAUGAUGAUGUAGUUUUCUUUGUAUUUUUCCUUAGAUCUCUAUGCUUUCAUAAUUGGAAGCUAUGUCAUUUGGACUGCUUUGGCUGGAGCCAGAUAUUCCAUUGAACAUAUUAGAACAAAUAGGGCGACUAUUUUGCUUAGCCAAAUCUGGAAGUGGUGUGGCAUUGUUCUGAAGAGCUCUAUGCUGUUGUCAAUAUGGAUUUUUGUCAUUCCAGUAUUGAUUGGGCUUCUCUUUGAGCUUCUGGUGAUUGUGCCUAUGCGGGUGCCUGUGGAUGAAAGCCCAGUUUUCCUCCUGUAUCAGGACUGGGCAUUGGGACUUAUCUUUCUUAAGAUUUGGACCAGGCUGGUUAUGUUGGACCAUAUGAUGCCACUCGUGGAUGAAAGUUGGCGAAUAAAAUUUGAAAGGGUGAGAGAAAAUGGUUUCUCAAGGCUACAAGGCCUUUGGGUCCUACGAGAGAUCGUGUUCCCUAUAAUAAUGAAGCUGCUAACGGCCCUGUGUGUACCUUAUGUCUUGGCAAGAGGGUUGUUUCCUGUGCUUGGUUACCCAUUAGUAGUAAACUCUGCUGUGUACCGGUUUGCAUGGUUGGGAUGUCUCUGCUUAAGUGCAUUGUGCUUUUGCGCUAAAAGAUUCCAUGUUUGGUUCACCAACCUUCACAACUCCAUACGCGAUGAUCGCUAUCUCAUCGGUCGUAGGCUUCAUAACUAUGGAGAAAAUAUAGAAGAGAGGCAAAAUGAGGCAGGGAUUUCCUCUGAAGUGCAAAAUUCGAAUUUGCAAGGCACUGGUUUGAUUCUAAACGAUCAAGAAGCUGAUGGAGGGUUGAGGCGAAGGCGAAUAUAUCAAGAGGAUGCAUGACAGAUGAGACAGGUUUGUGGGAGUUCUAAUCUGAUUGAGGCUGUGAAGCCUUGGAAAUGUUAAUAGGACAUUCCAUUGGGAGAAUCAACAUGUGCUCAUAACUUCAUAGUUGGGUAUUUUGUGCAUAUAUUAUACGUGUAAAAUUACUAGUUAGAAUGGAAACAUUAAGAUGGUUGUUGGUGGCAAGAAUGUUUAUUUUUCAUUUGAUUUUUGAUCAACGCCUGUAGAUAUACUGGCUUCCAUCAAAACGUCCACAAAUUCGAUGGAAUGAUGGUUGGGUAGCCAAGGCCUUCUAUCUCUAGGGUAUUGAUUGGAACCACAAAUUGCAUUUUGAGUUGCCUGCGGGGAACACGUCUUCCAAUUAAUAUGCAUGUGGCAGAGCACACCAAGCUGAUCUCACCUUUAAAUUAUCAUCUAUGCAUAACAAUGCAGGUGGCAUCAAACACUGUUGAAUGAAUUAAUGAUAUGGGGUUGUAUUUCGCUUGGUCCUAACAAAUUAUGUGGCAUCAUUCCAGUGAUAAACUAUAUAAGGCUCUGAGGGUCGUGGAAUUGAUGGAGUAUUUGGUUAUCUAUUUGUUGAUUAUUUUGAAUUUGUAAAUCGAUUUAUAACAACUGGUUCAUAUUACUCAUAAUUAAUUUGAUGACAUCACCAUAAUGCAUACAAUCUUAGCCCUGA